UACGGAGGAUCCAAGCGUUUAUCCGGAAUCAUUGGGUUUAAAGGGUCCGUAGGCGGUUUAGUAAGUCAGUGGUGAAAGCCCAUCGCUCAACGGUGGAACGGCCAUUGAUACUGCUAGACUUGAAUUAUUAGGAAGUAACUAGAAUAUGUAGUGUAGCGGUGAAAUGCUUAGAGAUUACAUGGAAUACCAAUUGCGAAGGCAGGUUACUACUAAUGGAUUGACGCUGAUGGACGAAGGCGUGGGUAGCGAACAGG
RNAcentral lists this ribosomal RNA (254 nucleotides) under uncultured bacterium. Its description in RNAcentral is "partial 16S ribosomal RNA". It matches the Rfam family "Bacterial small subunit ribosomal RNA", at positions 524 to 776 of the family's 1533-position model. The record is from RNAcentral.